UGCAGAAUCCCGUGAACCAUCGAGUCUUUGAACGCAAGUUGCGCCCGAGGGAUCCUCCCGAGGGCACGCCUGCCUCAUGGGCGUUAGAAGCCCAUCCACGCUCGGUUGCCUAUCGGCAAAGAUGCGGACAUUGGCCCUCCGAACCGCGAGGUGCGGUGGGCCUAAGUGUGCGGCCGUCGUAUGUGGCCGGGAGCGGCGAGUGGUGGGCUACUGCGCACGUCACCCCGAGCCCCGUACCGACACAGGACCUUUUUUGACCCCAAACGAGGAGCUUGCCGUCGCGGCUUGCGCUGCGCGGCGCCUUCGGACCGAUACCCCAGGUCAGGCGGGGCUACCCGCUGAGUUUAAGCAUAUAAAUAAGCGGAGGAGAAGAAACUUACAAGGAUUCCCCUAGUAACGGCGAGCGAACCGGGAGCAGCCCAGCCUUAGAAUCGCGGUGGCACUGCCGCCCGA
RNAcentral lists this ribosomal RNA (453 nucleotides) under Carex chordorrhiza. Its description in RNAcentral is "eukaryotic LSU rRNA". The stretch from base 312 to 453 matches the Rfam family "Eukaryotic large subunit ribosomal RNA", at positions 1 to 141 of the family's 3401-position model. The record is from RNAcentral. Lineage: Eukaryota; Viridiplantae; Streptophyta; Magnoliopsida; Poales; Cyperaceae.